GGAGAGAUGGCCGAGUGGUUUAAGGCGUAGCAUUGGAAUUGCUAUGUAGGCUUUUGUUUACCGAGUUCUUCUCUCCUCUCCUUUCAG
This 87-nucleotide transfer RNA is filed under the name Aeginetia indica. Its description in RNAcentral is "tRNA-Ser". The stretch from base 1 to 77 matches the Rfam family "tRNA". Rfam says of the family: Transfer RNA (tRNA) molecules are approximately 80 nucleotides in length. Their secondary structure includes four short double-helical elements and three loops (D, anti-codon, and T loops). Lineage: Eukaryota; Viridiplantae; Streptophyta; Magnoliopsida; Lamiales; Orobanchaceae. The record is from RNAcentral.